RNAcentral lists this ribosomal RNA (252 nucleotides) under uncultured bacterium. RNAcentral's name for it is "partial 16S ribosomal RNA". It matches the Rfam family "Bacterial small subunit ribosomal RNA", at positions 524 to 776 of the family's 1533-position model. The record is from RNAcentral.
UACGUAGGGACCGAGCGUUGUCCGGAAUCAUUGGGCGUAAAGAGCGUGUAGGCGGUUUGGUAGGUCCGCUGUGAAAACUCGAGCUCAACCUCGAGACGCCGGUGGAAACCAUCAGACUAGAGUCCGGAAGAGGAGAGUGGAAUUCCUGGUGUAGCGGUGAAAUGCGCAGAUAUCAGGAAGAACACCCGUGGCUAAGGCGGCUCUCUAGUACGGUACUGACGCUGAGACGCGAAAGCGUGGGGAGCGAACAGG